UACGAAGGGGGCUAGCGUUGCUCGGAAUCACUGGGCGUAAAGGGUGCGUAGGCGGGUCUUUAAGUCAGGGGUGAAAUCCUGGAGCUCAACUCCAGAACUGCCUUUGAUACUGAGGAUCUUGAGUACGGGAGAGGUGAGUGGAACUGCGAAUGUAGAGGUGAAAUUCGUAGAUAUUCGCAAGAACACCAGUGGCGAAGGCGGCUCACUGGCCCGUUACUGACGCUGAGGCACGAAAGCGUGGGGAGCAAACAGG
This 253-nucleotide ribosomal RNA is filed under the name uncultured bacterium. RNAcentral describes it as "partial 16S ribosomal RNA". It matches the Rfam family "Bacterial small subunit ribosomal RNA", at positions 524 to 776 of the family's 1533-position model. The record is from RNAcentral.